GAACAAGUGGUGUAAUGGCAGCACACACCUUUAUCGGUGCUUGAGGCUCAGGUUCGAUUCCUGACUUGUUCU
Molecule: transfer RNA, 72 nt
Filed under: Crocinitomicaceae bacterium
Lineage: Bacteria; Pseudomonadati; Bacteroidota; Flavobacteriia; Flavobacteriales; Crocinitomicaceae
Description: tRNA-OTHER
Rfam family: tRNA
About the family: Transfer RNA (tRNA) molecules are approximately 80 nucleotides in length. Their secondary structure includes four short double-helical elements and three loops (D, anti-codon, and T loops).
Source: RNAcentral